This 783-nucleotide ribosomal RNA is filed under the name Klebsiella pneumoniae. Its description in RNAcentral is "bacterial SSU rRNA". It matches the Rfam family "Bacterial small subunit ribosomal RNA", at positions 737 to 1520 of the family's 1533-position model. The record is from RNAcentral. Lineage: Bacteria; Pseudomonadati; Pseudomonadota; Gammaproteobacteria; Enterobacterales; Enterobacteriaceae.
AGACUGACGCUCAGGUGCGAAAGCGUGGGGAGCAAACAGGGUUAGUUGCCCUGGUAGUCCACGCCUUAAACGAUGUAGAUUUGGAGGUUGUGCCCUUGAGGCGUGGCUUCCGGAGCUAACGCGUUAAAUCGACCGCCUGGGGAGUACGGCCGCAAGGUUAAAACUCAAAUGAAUUGACGGGGGCCCGCACAAGCGGUGGAGCAUGUGGUUUAAUUCGAUGCAACGCGAAGAACCUUACCUGGUCUUGACAUCCACAGAACUUUCCAGAGAUGGAUUGGUGCCUUCGGGAACUGUGAGACAGGUGCUGCAUGGCUGUCGUCAGCUCGUGUUGUGAAAUGUUGGGUUAAGUCCCGCAACGAGCGCAACCCUUAUCCUUUGUUGCCAGCGGUUAGGCCGGGAACUCAAAGGAGACUGCCAGUGAUAAACUGGAGGAAGGUGGGGAUGACGUCAAGUCAUCAUGGCCCUUACGACCAGGGCUACACACGUGCUACAAUGGCAUAUACAAAGAGAAGCGACCUCGCGAGAGCAAGCGGACCUCAUAAAGUAUGUCGUAGUCCGGAUUGGAGUCUGCAACUCGACUCCAUGAAGUCGGAAUCGCUAGUAAUCGUAGAUCAGAAUGCUACGGUGAAUACGUUCCCGGGCCUUGUACACACCGCCCGUCACACCAUGGGAGUGGGUUGCAAAAGAAGUAGGUAGCUUAACCUUCGGGAGGGCGCUUACCACUUUGUGAUUCAUGACUGGGGUGAAGUCGUAACAAGGUAACCGUAGGGGAACCUGCGGUUG